UCCUGGCUCAGGAUGAACGCUAGCGGCAGGCCUAAUACAUGCAAGUCGAACGGCAGCGGGUCCAGCAAUGGAUGCCGGCGAGUGGCGCACGGGUGCGUAACACGUAUGCAAUCUACCCAUUACUUGAGAAUAGCCCGGAGAAAUUCGGAUUAAUACUCAAUGAUACUAUUGGAAGGCAUCUUCCGAUAUUUAAAGAUUUAUCGGUAAUGGAUGAGCAUGCGGCUGAUUAGUUAGUUGGUAGGGUAACGGCCUACCAAGACAAUGAUCAGUAGGGGUUCUGAGAGGAAGGUCCCCCACACUGGUACUGAGAUACGGACCAGACUCCUACGGGAGGCAGCAGUAGGGAAUAUUGGGCAAUGGACGAGAGUCUGACCCAGCCAUGCCGCGUGCAGGAAGAAGGCCCUCGAGGUUGUAAACUGCUUUUGAUCGGGAACAAAAAGCCCUUGCGAGGGAAAUUGAGUGUACCGAUAGAAUAAGCACCGGCUAACUCCGUGCCAGCAGCCGCGGUAAUACGGAGGGUGCAAGCGUUGUCCGGAUUUAUUGGGUUUAAAGGGUGCGUAGGCGGCUUUUUAAGUCAGUGGUGAAAUCCUGCAGCUUAACUGUAGGCGUGCCAUUGAUACUGGGAAGCUUGAGUACAGGCGAGGUUGGCGGAAUUGACGGUGUAGCGGUGAAAUGCAUAGAUAUCGUCAAGAACACCGAUUGCGAAGGCAGCUAACUAGACUGUAACUGACGCUGAGGCACGAAAGUGUGGGGAUCGAACAGGAUUAGAUACCCUGGUAGUCCACACUGUAAACGAUGAUUACUCGAUGUGUGCGAUAUACAGUACGCGUCCAAGCGAAAGCGUUAAGUAAUCCACCUGGGGAGUACGCCCGCAAGGGUGAAACUCAAAGGAAUUGACGGGGUCCGCACAAGCGGUGGAGCAUGUGGUUUAAUUCGAUGAUACGCG
RNAcentral lists this ribosomal RNA (946 nucleotides) under uncultured Sporocytophaga sp. RNAcentral's name for it is "bacterial SSU rRNA". It matches the Rfam family "Bacterial small subunit ribosomal RNA", at positions 17 to 963 of the family's 1533-position model. Lineage: Bacteria; Pseudomonadati; Bacteroidota; Cytophagia; Cytophagales; Cytophagaceae. The record is from RNAcentral.